Molecule: long non-coding RNA, 5630 nt
Organism: Neopelma chrysocephalum (saffron-crested tyrant-manakin)
Lineage: Eukaryota; Metazoa; Chordata; Aves; Passeriformes; Pipridae
Exons: 5
Source: RefSeq, a predicted model, not a curated record
UUCUAUGGGGAAAAAAAAAACCAAACCCAAAACCAAACCCUACGGAUGUCUCUGUCAGGGAUUGUCACGUGAAGGAUUUGCAACAGCAGCAGCUCCAGAGUGAUGCUCGGGAGUGCUGAGCUUAACCCGUCGCCCGCUCUACUUGAGGUGCCCUUCUAUGAAUUUUGGCAACUGCAUAGUUGCUUUAUCGCUCUGCAAAUGUGCUCCCAUUAAAAAAAAAACAACAAACAAAACAACAAAACAACCAAACAAAAACAAAAAGCCCAAACCCUCAGCUUUUCACCGUUUGAUGUGUAUCCUCGGCCCCAUUCAUUUGCUAGAUGUUUUUCUCCUUUGAUCUAUUGGUAAUGGUGUUCAUUUAGGAGAGGUAUUCAGCUGAGCAGGCUUCGAUAUUCUAUCAAGGAAUUUGAAUAAAUACAAUUAUUCCAUGUUACAAAAUAAGAAAUAGCUGAGGGCUUUAGACAUAGAAAAAGCAUGGGGCAAAAAGGAGUUUCAGGGCUUCCUUUAAUAGAGCUUUACAAUGCAGUCAGUAAAUCUGGCUUGUUAAUGAAAUGUUCCUAAUAGCUACAAUUAGGGCCUCUGCUGACUUUAUCUUUGAAUUGAAAAUAAUUUUUUUCAAUGAACCUUUCAAUAUUAAAUUGUUGUUGCCAUGUUGCUGGCUUGGUUGAUCAUAGUUCUUAUGUGAAUUCUGUCUUUCCUAAGUGGAAGAGCAGGGAUGUCGUAUAAUAUCUAUUUAAAGCACAACCAAUGUUCAUCAGUCAACAGAUUUUUUUGCAAAUUAAAUAUUCCUGGUUAUUAAUAUUGGUGGGAAAAAAAUGAAUGUAUUUUUUGAACGCAAGUAAGGAAAAAUAGUUCCAACACUUUUUUGAGGGGUGGGUCUAUUUUUAUAAUUUUUUAACCAUGCUUGCUCCCUAGGAGAGUUGGUUGCAGAGAAAGAAUGUUACGGCAAGAUAAUACCAUGUUCUCUCCCAGCCUCUGCCUAGCAAAAGGGAGAUGUGCUGGGGAUUUAUUCUGUUGCCUGGAGCUGACAGACUGACUUCUUCCUGCCCCUGGAAUGGUGCAGGCGGGACAGAACACUUGCACCAGCACCCUUUUUUAACUUUUUUUUGGUGAGAACAAGUGCCCGAGUGACCUGGUUAGCAAGCACUGUGCUUUACUUAUUAAGCAGUGACUAAUACAAUGCAAAGGAUUAAUUUUGAUUUCUCCACCAACCGCUUCCCCCUCCCCCACACUCUUACACUCUUCUUAUCCCUGCUUUUUUCUUCUCAAUCUCUUACAGUCUGGCUGAAAUGCUGAUAUUUUUUUCCUCUGCUCCUAAAACAACUUUGGGCCAUUCCCUUUUUUAUCUUAGUUCGCUGGGUUCUCUUUGCAUUAUAGAUCAUCUUUGUCCGAAAAGCAGUGCCAACAGCCACUCCCAGUGCCAUUCAUACACAGUAUGUGUCUUGUCCCGGGUCCUGUCACAUGAUGUUUCCCAUGUUAGGUGUGGUGUUGAAUGUGCUAAACAGAACUCUUAGACACAAAGGGGAAAUGACCAAAACCCACGGCCUUAAAUUCAUGGCUCUCUACCAGCCCCUUCAUGCAGAACCCCCAUCAAAAGUCAGUAUUUCUGUGCAUCCAGUGCUGGCAGGACCUUAAAACCCUUAAAAUCAGAUAACAUUCAGAUCCCCAGUACAGUAUUUGUGGCAUCAGUGGGGCAAAUUCAUCUGCAUUUCAAGGCAGAAUGCAUUCGUCUGUACUUUCUCCUGGCUUUUGUUCGCAAAAAAGAAAAAAAACCCACAUUGGCAGAGCCAUGUUACUGCUUCCUGCUUCUGUUGUUGAGUGUUUUGCAGCUACCACGGCUGGCCAAGAAGCUGUAAAUCUUGCCUGGUGUUCUGUAACAAAGAGAAAAAUAGAAUGAUUUGUGUUGACUUUUGGUCAUCGUGUAUCAUUAUCGAUCCGAGGGAGGGCGGCGGGGGAACGCGUUACCGUGUAUCUGUUGCUCGCCAGUUCUCCGGGAAGGCUGCGUUACCCAGCAGUCAGUAGAGGGCAAUAGAGAAAUACAGUUUUGUGAUGCCUAAAGGAUUUGAAGCCCUGAUUAUGUGUUUACAGAAAAGAAAAAGAAGAAAAGAAGAGCCAGGAGGAUAGGUUGUUCAGUUUACUACCGGAGACCUGACUGUGACAGACCACCAAGGAAACAAAAUUUUCUAAGAGAGUAAAGAAGACCUUCUGCAGCAUCUGCAAGGGUCUCCUUUUUUUCUUCAGAGUUACGUGGGAUAACUUAGCCAGAACUUAUCAAUGUCUACAUGUUCAGUGGACUCGGGAAUGGACUGGGAGAUGCAGAAAGGCACUCUUUGGAAGGAACAGAAGAGGAGGCAUUUCAAAAAUCCUGCAGGUGACCAAGGUGAUGAUCUGCUAACAGAAUAAAUAAAUCAUAGAUAGUACUGAGACUGCUCAGCCAUUUGCUGUGGUAUCACUUCUACAUGAGGCUAGGUCUGGGCCUGUGCCUUCCUCAUCAGCAUGCCUAUUAAUGUCGUCAAGAUUGAAGACAUGAGAAGGAUGAGGGGACCAGCACACAACAGUGAAAAAGAUGCCAGUACAAGGAUCAAGACCAAAAGCAAUCAGACUUCAGACAGAGAAGGAGUAGGAAAGUUGCUGAGGUCUCCACAUAGGUGUCUGAUAACAGUCCCACCAAGGUGGAAGUGAAACUGUCUCACAACUCCGCCUCUUCUCCCUAGUGCCUGUGGAGGCAACUUCCAGCAUGACACAUCCCAUCUUUGCCUCUCCAGAGUAUGGGACUGCUUGCAUCGUUCUCUGAAGGGUCUAGUGCUGGUACUUCUAGACACUAGCUUUCAGCAUUACUGAACAACAACCAGAGUUCCCAGCAACACUGCAUUGGACAGCCCUGCUUGUUGGAAGAAGGUGAAGAAGGAGCUUCCUGCCUGGGUACCUUGUGAAGGAAGUGACCAUUGUGGGUGGAGGCAUGCAGACAACAUACCCGAAGUCCCACUACUUUCCUGUGCAGGGAAAUCCUUCAGCUUGACUGGAGUCAGAGGAAACCUGGUCCCUGUCCCCAGACAAGGUCACACAGCAGUCUUGGGGAUCAAUUUUCCUGGAUAAACCAGAGGUUUCCUCCCGGUGGACAUUUCUGUGCUCUCUUUCUCUAGCAAGCAGCUUUGAUUUAGGAAACUUUUUCUGCUGAUUGGGUAUCAUCUGAUUGUUACUGGAGUGCUGGGGUACUGGAGAGUUGGAUGAUGAAAUGCCUGACCUGUGGCUGCCCAAUCUCAUGCUGCUUCCUCUCUGCAAUAAUGCUCCCACACAGACAUCCAUUUACUUAUCUAACCACGGGCUAACUUUUUGUCUGUUUUUUUUCUGAGCUGUUGUGGGAUUUGUUUCCAGUAGGCGUAUUACUUGAUUAAUGACCUUUCUGUUAACACUUGCUCAUAUUCCAUAUGGGAUCUUCUUGGGCUAUCUAAAAUGCACAAAAUACUUAAAAGAAUUUUUUUUCUCAGCUCAUCUCUGUUUUUAAUAACAUAAUUUAUUUCUCCCUCCUCCAAAGAAAAAAGAGCAUUUUCUAGCUUGCUCAAGCUCACGUUGAAUGUUUCUUGUGAUUCAUGUUGUCACCUUGUGCAGUAUUCCAAGAAAACAGAGCAUGGACAGGCUCUGUCAGGAAGGGUUUUGUAAUCUAUUUGUCAUUUCUUUUCUGUAUAGAUUAAGGGCUAAAUUUUGUGAUGGCAGAUGAAUUUGUAGACCCUAUCUCUUUGAAAUCACGCCAGCUAUUCAAAAGAGAGAAGCUGCUUUUCUUUCAACCCAUGAUAGUAGUGCUUUCCUGGAUGCAAGUUGAAAAAUAUUUACAUAAUUAUAAAUAAGCAGUGUGUAACUAUAAAUAAAGAACACGGGUAAUAAAGUGUUAUCAUUGAAGUUGAAAUUAAAAUUGGAUCCUGCCAAGCCCUAAACAUAGAUCAUGACAGAAAAAAUCCAAUAAGGUUUUUUUGUUUGUUUGUUUGUAGGUGCUGUAAUUAUAGACUAGAUAAAGGAAAGAAAAGAUUAUCCAGCAGACAUAAUUUGUAAUGAUUACAGUAACAUUUCUGAUGCAAUGCCAUGAAAAGAAUGACUACUUGUGCAUGGCAUCUACAUGUGCAUCUACAUCCCUCCUCAGGGAGGUGCCCUCUGCAGCAUUUACCUCAUAACCCGAAACAUGUCACAGGCUGUAUGACCAUGGGCUGUGUGACCACAGCCUGUAUGACCACGGGCCUGUUUCCAAAGAAUAUGCUGUGGUGUGCACUGGGUGACUCCUGCUAGGAUUGUCUCUGAACCUGACCCCAUGCAGCUAGAUCCCCCCACCCAGGGGACCCCCUGUUGUAUGGUAAAUUAAGAAGCCCUGGAGCAGAGGGAUAUGUUGACUGUCUCUAAAUGCAAGACGUUCAUCUUGAAUUAAGCUACUUCUUUAUCACCAGGGUUUGGUCUGAGCACUGUGCCCUCCACUGGCAGAGCAGGAAAAGAUUUGCCUCCAUUGGGAACAUGAACUGUUGUGAAAAAGUGCAGUUGGGCUCAGAAAAGCCCUGAGACAUGUUCACGCAAAAACAGAAAGCAUUUCGUUUUAGUUACCAAGAGUGAAAUCUCUUGUUACCUUUCUGGAAACCAAGGCUUGAGGCCAAAAGCAAUUUCUUGUACUUCAAUAACUGAAAAUAAAGCCUUAAAAAAGAACAUGUCAGGGAAUUAAAUGAGAACCACAAAUUUAGCAGGGCUAGUGAUUGCCCUGGAGAAUAUUGAGGUGAAAUGUAUAGAAAAGAGGGGGUUAGAGACACAGUUAAGUGAAUUACUAGUCCCAUCUGUAACACCUGUCAUAGUCCUGACUACUGGGUAUUUACUUUCAAAGAAAUCAGCUUGCACUACUGUUUGCUGAAGAGCCCUAAAUCAGGUGUGCAGGCGCAAUUACUAAAAAUGAAUCUGUCAGAGCAAAUCUCAGGUAAUCAAGGAGUCCUGUUUGGGCUCCCCUCCUGUACUCAUCCUUGCCUUAGGGACAACCAAAACCAAUGUUCCUCAAAUCUGUUGGGAAUGAGCAACACAGAUACAAAGUAGACUUACUAAGAAGGUUAAAGAAACUUUAAGGUGUUUGCCACAAGCUAAUAAUGGCAUCUGGGAGUCAGCCAUCCACAGGGGCAUGUCAAAUGGUGUUUGUAUCACCAUGAAAAGACUCAGGAUUAUUUUAGUGCCAAACAGAAGACAUAAUCUGAUGCAAUUUUCAGAAGCACCAUCAGACCCUGAUAGACAACGUAUGCCCACAGCUUCUCACACCUUCUUGCUGUAGCAGGUAUAUUCUGAUGGGGUUUCAGUGCACAGUCCAUGACAGAUGAUUUGAAAACUGAGUAUUCCUGAGGAAUGGGCAUGAAACUCUUGUUUGAUUCUCUGAACUCAGUCCAUUGACUAGUGUCUCUGAGCAAAGAUGUUUUUUUCAUUAACUAGAUCUCUGUUUAGUUGUGCUUUUCUUAUUAUAGAUGAGAUUCCCCCCAGCUUGUCCUUUGUCUUUAAGCUAUGCAACUUUCUGUAGAAAAUUAUGCAUGAAUAUAUAAAAGGCUAUGGACAAUAUCAAGAAAUGAGUAUGCUAACAUUUCUGUUUCUCAGACACAUUUUGGUUGAGUUUAGUUUUUGUU